This 561-nucleotide long non-coding RNA is filed under the name Salmo salar (Atlantic salmon). RNAcentral describes it as "lncRNA (ENSSSAG00000121223.1)". The record is from RNAcentral. Lineage: Eukaryota; Metazoa; Chordata; Actinopteri; Salmoniformes; Salmonidae.
AGAAUAUCCUGCCUCAUGGCCACAGUAUAGAGAGAGAGUGGGUUUCAUAGAAAGAACCAAGGACUUCUUCCACCUCACAGAACUGGAGAACCGAACGACAUUUAUGUUCUGGAGAAGAUAUAAUGACACUGUACCAGUACUGAGUCAAUGUGCAGAUCUACCAGGUAGUUGAGGAAAUAAUGAGACUGUACCAGUACUGAGUCAAUGUGCAGGGGUACCAGGUAGUUGAGGUAAUAAUGAGACUAUAAGGAGUACCAGUACUGAGUCAAUGUGCAGGGGUACCAGGUAGUUGAGGUAAUGAUGAGACUAUAAGGAGUACCAGUACUGAGUCAAUGUGCAGGGGUACCAGGUAGUUGAGGUAAUAAUGAGACUAUAAGGAGUACCAGUACUGAGUCAAUGUGCAGGGGUACCAGGUUGUUGAGGUAAUAAUGAGACUAUAAGGAGUACCAGUACUGAGUCAAUGUGCAGGGGUACCAGGUAGUUGAGUUAAUAAUGAGACUAUAAGGAGUACCAGUGCUGAGUCAAUGUGCAGGGGUACCAGGUAGUUGAGGUAAUAAUGAG